This 600-nucleotide ribosomal RNA is filed under the name Salmonella enterica. RNAcentral's name for it is "partial 23S ribosomal RNA". It matches the Rfam family "Bacterial large subunit ribosomal RNA", at positions 1182 to 1757 of the family's 2925-position model. Lineage: Bacteria; Pseudomonadati; Pseudomonadota; Gammaproteobacteria; Enterobacterales; Enterobacteriaceae. The record is from RNAcentral. RNAcentral also lists the same sequence under 1 other name.
ACGAUUGAUGGAGCGAAGCGACGUCAAAGCGUUCAUUAAAGUCGAGUUGGCUUAGGGAUACGUUCGUUGGGUAGGGGAGCGUUCUGUAAGCCUGUGAAGGUGGCCUGUGAGGGUUGCUGGAGGUAUCAGAAGUGCGAAUGCUGACAUAAGUAACGAUAAAGCGGGUGAAAAGCCCGCUCGCCGGAAGACCAAGGGUUCCUGUCCAACGUUAAUCGGGGCAGGGUGAGUCGACCCCUAAGGCGAGGCCGAAAGGCGUAGUCGAUGGGAAACGGGUUAAUAUUCCCGUACUUGGUGUUACUGCGAAGGGGGGACGGAGAAGGCUAUGUUGGCCGGGCGACGGUUGUCCCGGUUUAAGCGUGUAGGUGUGUGUUCCAGGUAAAUCCGGUUCACUUUAACACUGAGGCGUGAUGACGAGGCACUACGGUGCUGAAGCAACAAAUGCCCUGCUUCCAGGAAAAGCCUCUAAGCAUCAGGUAACAUCAAAUCGUACCCCAAACCGACACAGGUGGUCAGGUAGAGAAUACCAAGGCGCUUGAGAGAACUCGGGUGAAGGAACUAGGCAAAAUGGUGCCGUAACUUCGGGAGAAGGCACGCUGACAC